Molecule: long non-coding RNA, 566 nt
Organism: Etheostoma spectabile (orangethroat darter)
Lineage: Eukaryota; Metazoa; Chordata; Actinopteri; Perciformes; Percidae
Exons: 3
Source: RefSeq, a predicted model, not a curated record
AUAAAACUAAAACAUUUGUUUUUCUCCUUGUCAUCUAGAACCCAAAUAGAUUGGAUUUAUUUAUUUAGGGGAGGUUGGAUGAUUUUAAUAUUGCAUGUACUACUGCAGUCAUUUCAAUUUAUCUUGGAUUGCAUGUGUAUUAGUUUUCUCCCCAAACCAAAUGUUAACCAGAACUGCAAGCAGUUAUGACGGGGUCCAAACCUCCUGACUCCAGUCGCCCCAGACAACCAGGGGAGCCCGCAGAAGCGGGACACAAAGCGUAACGGUGGGGAGGCAAAAAUCAAGAAAUAUUGAGAGGUGUGAGCCGUAAGGUCUGCGGUACGUUGCCGUUGCAAAUAUCCCAUUUACAUUGAGUAGAAGGGCUGAAACUGGUCUAAUUUGGCUACAGCGCCCCCUAAUGGCCGGUCUUUGCCAAAUUUGGUACGGAGCCUCAGAACAGCAUACCAAGCAAGCAUCACCAGUUUCAUGUCUAUAGCAUUUACAGAGAGAUAUUGCAAUUGCAAAUUUCCCAUUUAAAUGAAUUGAGUUAUCGGCCAAAACAAAUAAACUGCAUUUGACCACUGGCC